RNAcentral lists this ribosomal RNA (468 nucleotides) under uncultured bacterium. RNAcentral describes it as "partial 16S ribosomal RNA". It matches the Rfam family "Bacterial small subunit ribosomal RNA", at positions 28 to 507 of the family's 1533-position model. The record is from RNAcentral.
GACGAACGCUGGCGGCGUGCUUAACACAUGCAAGUCGAACGGAAAGGCCCUGCUUUUGUGGGGUGCUCGAGUGGCGAACGGGUGAGUAACACGUGAGUAACCUGCCCUUGACUUUGGGAUAACUUCAGGAAACUGGGGCUAAUACCGGAUAGGAGCUCCUGCUGCAUGGUGGGGGUUGGAAAGUUUCGGCGGUUGGGGAUGGACUCGCGGCUUAUCAGCUUGUUGGUGGGGUAGUGGCUUACCAAGGCUUUGACGGGUAGCCGGCCUGAGAGGGUGACCGGCCACAUUGGGACGGAGAUACGGCCCAGACUCCUACGGGAGGCAGCAGUGGGGAAUAUUGCAUAAUGGGCGGAAGCCUGAUGCAGCAACGCCGCGUGCGGGAUGACGGCCUUCGGGUUGUAAACCGCUUUCGCCUGUGACGAAGCGUGAGUGACGGUAAUGGGUAAAGAAGCACCGGCUAACUACGUG